UGGGGAAUUUUGGACAAUGGGCGAAAGCCUGAUCCAGCAAUGCCGCGUGUGUGAAGAAGGCCUUCGGGUUGUAAAGCACUUUUGUCCGGAAAGAAAUCCUUGGCUCUAAUACAGUCGGGGGGUGACGGUACCGGAAGAAUAAGCACCGGCUAACUACGUGCCAGCAGCCGCGGUAAUACGUAGGGUGCAAGCGUUAAUCGGAAUUACUGGGCGUAAAGCGUGCGCAGGCGGUUUGCUAAGACCGAUGUGAAAUCCCCGGGCUCAACCUGGGAACUGCAUUGGUGACUGGCAGGCUAGAGUAUGGCAGAGGGGGGUAGAAUUCCACGUGUAGCAGUGAAAUGCGUAGAGAUGUGGAGGAAUACCGAUGGCGAAGGCAGCCCCCUGGGCCAAAUACUGACGCUCAUGCACGAAAGCGUGGGGAGCAAACAGGAUUAGAUACCCUGGUAGUCCACGCCCUAAAACGAUGUCAACUAGUUGUUGGGGAUUCAUUUCCUUAGUAACGUAGCUAACGCGUGAAGUUGACCGCCUGGGGAGUACGGUCGCAAGAUUAAAACUU
Molecule: ribosomal RNA, 556 nt
Filed under: uncultured bacterium
Lineage: Bacteria
Description: partial 16S ribosomal RNA
Rfam family: Bacterial small subunit ribosomal RNA
Source: RNAcentral